Molecule: long non-coding RNA, 742 nt
Organism: Etheostoma spectabile (orangethroat darter)
Lineage: Eukaryota; Metazoa; Chordata; Actinopteri; Perciformes; Percidae
Exons: 3
Source: RefSeq, a predicted model, not a curated record
UUCCUUGAGUCUGGAACACCAAUUAAGAGUGUCUGUUUGGGUUUUCAUGACAGCUGUUGAGGAGGCUUGCAGACAGUCAGGCCUUGCGCUGGACGUGAAGGGCUCCCACCAAGCAGGCCUGGACCCAGAUAGCGCAUGCUGACACAGGAGAGCUGCAGUUUAUGUAGGGAAGCAAUACUGAUGAGGUAACCUCCUGUGAGUGGCUUUCAAUGAAACGGCAGAAAGGAGGCUUGCCAAUCUGCUUUGAUGAGCACUGCUCCUCCAGCAGCAGGAAAACUUGAUCUAAGGUCCUAAAGGCUAUCAAGUCCACUCUUCCCCACUGGAAGUCCAUCUUUGCUUUAAAGACUUGCUGGCUCCAGAAAUUCUCCAUCAUGCUGAAGAAUUUGAUCCAGGGGAUUGUGCUGUCUGGAUAAAUGUUCACUGAGCUCUAUAACGGGAAUGGAUUGAGGUCACGGCACUAAAGCAUCUCCCUCAGUUCAAAGGUGGGCAUGAACGUGAGUCCCAAAGACAGAUUCAUCUUGGUCAGGAGUAAACCUCUUGAAAGUAGGGCAUGUAAUUGCAAUGUGGAGCAUAACGGACCAUAUCGUUAUUAAAUGGUAUUGUUAAAGGAAAUAGGAGAGAGGUCAAAUUUGAGGUAAGCCGCCCUGUUGUGACAUGUGAGACAAGCCCUUCACUAGUGCUGGUGAUAGAUAUAGGGUUAGCUUUGAUGAGCUUAUCCAUCACUAUAAAUAAUAUAGAUGUC